Molecule: ribosomal RNA, 1419 nt
Filed under: Triticum aestivum (bread wheat)
Lineage: Eukaryota; Viridiplantae; Streptophyta; Magnoliopsida; Poales; Poaceae
Description: partial small subunit ribosomal RNA
Source: RNAcentral
AUGGCGUACGCGGUCCCUCCCGGCGACGACGACGAUCUGAUGAACGUCCUCAGGCUCCCGCUCAGGCAACUCCCUGCCUGGGUGAACAAGGACGACCUCUACCGCGACGUUCCCCACGUCGUCGCCGGCGACUCCUUCCAGGCCACGGACGGCGCUGGAAGGCCGGCGUACUACGUCCUCACGCCGCUCCGCGCCAUGGGAAGCCGGACGAGGCGCACGGUCGGCGGCGGGUUGUGGAAGGUGGAGAAGACCAUCACCCUCCUACCUACCGCCGACGAGGCCAAGUCUUCCACUUCCAAGCCGGCGCCACAAGGAAGCUGCACCAAGCUCUCGUUCAUCUCCCGGCCACCCGGCGGGCCGGAGGGGAGGAACGGCUGGCUAAUGAAGCAGUAUCUGCUCCCCCACUCGCCAGGUGCCCCCGCAGGCCCCGCCCUCUGCAAAUUGUAUUUCAAGAAGUCGGCGGUGGCGGCUACGGCGGCGUCGACUACGGCGGCGGCGGCGGCGGGGAAGGCGACCGCGGCUGCUCGUCCCAGCCGCCUGCCCGCAUCCGCCUCUUCCCCGAAGGGCUUCUUGAAGAAGCCGGCGGCGGAGGCGCCAUCUACGGCGGUGCCGCCGGCGACGAAGGCGGCAACAUCCCAGGACGCGGGCGCUCGUCCCCUGCGCCUGCGCGUGCCGACCUCCACCACUUACGCCAGCCGGCUGCGCCUGCCGGCCUCCAUCCCUUACUCCAAGAUCUUGAAGAAGCCGCCCGCCGAGGCGCCAUCUACGGCGGCGAAGGCUCCAUCUCGCGCCAGCAGCUUCCGCCGGCCUGCCUCCACCCCCUGCCCGAUGAAGAAGCCCGCGGCGGAGGCGCCACCUGCAGCGGAGCAGGCGCCGGCAAAGGCGGCCGAGGCGCCAUCUACGGCGGCGAAGGCUCCAUCUCACGCCAGCAGCUUCCGCCCGCCUGCCUCCAUCCCCUGCCUGAAGAAGCCCGCGGCCGAGGCGCCAUCUACGGCGGCGAAGGCUCCAUCUCACGCCAGCAGCUUCCGCCCGCCUGCCUUCAUCCCCUGCCUGAAGAAGCCCGCGGCGGAGGCGCCACCUGCAGCGGCGCCGGCGCCGGCAAAGGCGGCCGCGGCCCCUUGCGCCAGCCAGGACUCCACGCCUCCACUGCGCCGCCAGCUCUCCCCCGGCACCACACCCGGCAGGAGGUGGGUGCUGGUGGAAACCGAGGCGACCAGCCCCCCUCCCCAGCCAAACCAUGAUCGCAUCCUCAAGCGAAUCUACAAGCUCGCAGAGCUGGAGGUAGUCGAUGUCGAGGAAGGCGAACUUUUGGAGCAGGGGCACUAUCUUAGAAAAAAAGGAAAAUUCUCUUGCGACAAGUCCUCGUUUAUGCUCCUUAAGGACGACUAUUGUAGCUUCAGGAGUAGGGAGCUUUCCUGA